Molecule: long non-coding RNA, 573 nt
Organism: Etheostoma cragini (Arkansas darter)
Lineage: Eukaryota; Metazoa; Chordata; Actinopteri; Perciformes; Percidae
Exons: 3
Source: RefSeq, a predicted model, not a curated record
CUAGCUAACGUUAUGUGAGCUGUCACACUGCAGCUAACCUGCUAAUUAGCAAGCUAUGUAUAACAGUUGGCCAGAAAAUGGUAAUUUAUGGCCAUUAUUCUUUUAUUUUAGGCGGUUAUCUUUGCUUUAGGUCACUGUAGGUAUGGAAGCCACGAGGUCAGAGUGAGUUGAGUCCCGUGUCAGAAGCGUCCCCACGUUGACCUGCGCCUGACUGGCCUCCCAGCAAAAAGCCCCUGUGAAGCCUCGGGACCCUGCAGAGUGACAUGCGACAGAGGAACUGGUAGAAAACCAAGGAUGUGAGCAUGGCAAUAGACUUGUAAAAGAGCCUGCAACAACUGCAAGCAGCAUGGGGUACAAACAGCACUGGGUUGAUCUCAAACAAAAUGCAGAGGGAGGCGGGCCAGCUGAAGAUGUGUCAGAUAUCCGAAGAGAAAGAGGAUGGCUGCUGGAUGUAUUAACAGAUCUCGUGUUUGUGCAGUCAGGUGUUUGCACGUAGUUUGUGAUUAUUUUUGCAACCAUAAAUGAUCGUCCUUCUUCUCCCUCAGAGUCCAUUAACCAUUCUCUCCUCUCCUU